This 403-nucleotide ribosomal RNA is filed under the name Verrucomicrobiota bacterium. RNAcentral's name for it is "Verrucomicrobia bacterium partial 16S ribosomal RNA". It matches the Rfam family "Bacterial small subunit ribosomal RNA", at positions 355 to 776 of the family's 1533-position model. The record is from RNAcentral. Lineage: Bacteria; Pseudomonadati; Verrucomicrobiota.
UGGGGAAUUUUGCACAAUGGAGGGAACUCUGAUGCAGCGACGCCGCGUGAACGAAGAAGGCUUUCGAGUUGUAAAGCUCUUUUAUAUGGGAAGAUAAUGACGGUACCAUAAGAAAAAGCCCCGGCUAACUACGUGCCAGCAGCCGCGGUAAUACGUAGGGGGCUAGCGUUGUCCGGAAUCACUGGGCGUAAAGGGUUCGCAGGCGGAAAUGCAAGUCAGGUGUAAAAGGCAGUAGCUUAACUACUGUAAGCAUUUGAAACUGCAUAUCUUGAGAAGAGUAGAGGUAAGUGGAAUUUUUAGUGUAGCGGUGAAAUGCGUAGAUAUUAGGAAGAAUACCGGUGGCGAAGGCGACUUACUGGGCUCAUUCUGACGCUGAGGAACGAAAGCGUGGGUAGCAAACAGG